RNAcentral lists this Y RNA (102 nucleotides) under Propithecus coquereli (Coquerel's sifaka). RNAcentral describes it as "Y RNA (ENSPCOG00000010209.1)". It matches the Rfam family "Y RNA". Rfam says of the family: Y RNAs are components of the Ro ribonucleoprotein particle (Ro RNP), in association with Ro60 and La proteins. The Y RNAs and Ro60 and La proteins are well conserved, but the function of the Ro RNP is not known. The record is from Rfam by way of RNAcentral. Lineage: Eukaryota; Metazoa; Chordata; Mammalia; Primates; Indriidae.
GGUUGGUCCAAGUGCAGUGGUGUUCACAACAAACUCAUCACAACCAGCUGCAGAUUCCUUUGUUCCUUCUCCACUCCCCCUGCUUCACUUGACCAGCCUUAA